RNAcentral lists this ribosomal RNA (440 nucleotides) under uncultured bacterium. RNAcentral describes it as "partial 16S ribosomal RNA". It matches the Rfam family "Bacterial small subunit ribosomal RNA", at positions 338 to 795 of the family's 1533-position model. The record is from RNAcentral.
CCUACGGGUGGCAGCAGUGGGGAAUCUUGCACAAUGGGGGAAACCCUGAUGCAGCGACGCCGCGUGAGUGACGCAGGCUUUCGGUCUGUAAAGCUCUAUCAGCAGGGAAGAAAAUGACGGUAACUGAUUAAGCAGCCCCGGCUAACUACGUGCCAGCAGCCGCGGUAAUACGUAGGGGGCAAGCGUUAUCCGGAUUUACUGGGGGUAAAGGGAGCGGAGACGGCAGCACAAGUCUGGAGUGAAAUGCCUGGGCUUAACCCGGGUACUGCGUUGGAAACUGUGCAGCUAGAGUGCAGGAGAGGUAAGUGGAAUUCCAAGUGUAGCGGUGAAAUGCGUAGAUAUUAGGAGGAACACCAGUGGCGAAGGCGGCUUACUGGACUGUAACUGACGUUGAGGUUCGAAAGCGUGGGGAGCAAACAGGAUUAGAUACCCGAGUAGUC